CCCCGGGCCCUGUGCAAUGCAACCCUCGAACCAUGUCAGGUCCGGAAGGAAGCAGCAUUAAGAGGAUCCCUGCAUGUGCAACGGGAUCCCCGGGGUCC
RNAcentral lists this signal recognition particle RNA (98 nucleotides) under Acidobacteriota bacterium. Its description in RNAcentral is "signal recognition particle sRNA small type". It matches the Rfam family "Bacterial small signal recognition particle RNA". From Rfam's summary of the family: The signal recognition particle (SRP) is a universally conserved ribonucleoprotein involved in the co-translational targeting of proteins to membranes. Archaeal SRP consists of a 7S RNA and homologues of the eukaryotic SRP19 and SRP54 proteins. The record is from RNAcentral. Lineage: Bacteria; Pseudomonadati; Acidobacteriota.